This 21-nucleotide non-coding RNA is filed under the name Caenorhabditis elegans. The record is from RNAcentral. Lineage: Eukaryota; Metazoa; Nematoda; Chromadorea; Rhabditida; Rhabditidae.
UACUCUCCACACCACGAAGUU